UUAGAGCGGGGCACAGAGGCCGAGUUGAACUUGGAAUUUUCAGUCACCGCUGCAGCUGUCUUCUACACUCACACAGUUUAAGAGAAAAACGAGAUAUUCAGAGUAAAUUACGGAAGAGAGAUUUUUUUGGAACCGAAUUUGUGCGAAAAUCUAGUUGCAACGCCCAAGGCAGUCAUCAGUAACUUAAAACGGCGAAAUCUAAAUGGAAAUAUCUGAGAGACAAUUACAGAGAAGAGCUUAAAAGCUUGGUAACGUUAGGUCCGGUGAUCCAGGAAAAAGCCCACAGAAACGCAAUUCCAACACAUGCAUUUCCUAAGGGAUAUUUUAAUUCCAAGAGCAAUGCAGAGUUCGUUGUCAUCAGAAACGGAACCAGCAAGUCAAUCUCAACUAUCUCCAGAAUUUUCGUCUAACGACCACUCUAGUCCACAAUAUGAACGAGAUCAGUCUGAUAUAUCAUCAUUAGUGGCAGUUGAUGAAACGUCACCACUGGCAAGCACAGUAUCACAAAGGAAAAAAAAAGUAGUGGCCCAAAUAUUGAAGAAGAAUUUUUAAAGCUCGAAAAGGACAAAUUAGCUGUGAUGAAGACACAUCA
Molecule: long non-coding RNA, 592 nt
Organism: Schistocerca gregaria
Lineage: Eukaryota; Metazoa; Arthropoda; Insecta; Orthoptera; Acrididae
Exons: 3
Source: RefSeq, a predicted model, not a curated record